RNAcentral lists this small RNA (73 nucleotides) under Caenorhabditis briggsae. RNAcentral describes it as "snoRNA CBG29660". It matches the Rfam family "Nematode sRNA ceN72-3_ceN74-2". The record is from Rfam by way of RNAcentral. Lineage: Eukaryota; Metazoa; Nematoda; Chromadorea; Rhabditida; Rhabditidae.
UCUGUCGGUCCGGAAUCAGUGGGUUAUCUGGAACCCCCCCCCCCCCCCCCACUGGUGCUAACUUGACCGUUGG